ACAUAAUAGCCAUUCAAGACAGAACUAACCUCAACUCUUAGCUCUGAAUUUUGUUUGUCCAGUCUUGGGUGGAAUUAAAUGAUAAAGAACUAUGACGUUCAGAGGUUUUGGAAGAAUUUGGUUAUUGUUUGAGGGAUCGGUUUCCUUUGGGAGCAAGUUAUGAUAUGAAUUUGCUUUCCCAGCUGAAGCAAUUUAAUAGUGGUAUACACCAUUAUAAAGUUAUAAUGCUAGGAUAUGUAGACUCAUCGAACUCAAUUCCAGUUGAAACCAUCCUUCUAACCAUCUCCAACACCUCCUGCUACGUCACUCGAUUAACAUAACCAGAAAUCAUUGUGGUUUGGCGACUUUAUCUGGCUCGGGGAUUUUGUCGAGCAGCUGGUGUGCAUAUCGGAGCUCCGACGGUUUAUAGUAAGCAUCAAUCAAACAGUUACGGAUGUGGGCACAUGGUUGGAAACCGAAAGCCAUGAUAUUGGCGUGGACAGAUCACGCGAGUUACAGAUACAUACGUCGGCGCGACAAACAGAGGCUGAGAAUCUACCAAUCUAUCUCUUAUUUAUAUCAGCAAUCUUCGGUUAAAAGGAAACCAAAGAGUCUAUCACUCCGGUUUAGAAUAAACCAAAGAGUCGUUCAGUCCGGUUUAGAAAAAAAACGGACAAAAAAAUAACGUCUUGCCCACGCCAUUAAACCCUAGAGAAGUCGUUGUCUCCUUUCACAUUUUCAGUUACUUUUUUGACUGUUUGUUUCGGCGCCAUGCCUCCCAAAGACGAUAACUCCGAGGAAUCUGUUAAGCUCUUCCUCAGCACCGGUUUGGGCGAUGAGAUAUAUUCUUGUUAAUCUAAUCUCAAUUUCAAGUUAGCAACAUGAAUUUUCGCCAUUUUGUUUUGUUUUGUAUAAAAGCUAAAUUGCCUAGAAUAUAUUUGUCAAUGCUUGAAGAAACUUAUUGAUGUUAAUUUCUCCUUGCAAAUGCUCUUGUGCAUCGUCCUACAUUGCUCUAUUACAUUAUCUCCGGUUAGCAUUGUUGGGAUUUAUUAAAUCUCAUGUCUAACUCUAUAUUCUCUGAUUAGUACGAUACUGUCCACUUUGGGUCUAAGAGGCUGACCCGCAUGAAUUUACUUUUGGGCUCCUUCCCAAAAAGUCUCAUACUGUUAGAGUUGUACAUCUCUUUAUAUAUUAGAAACUCUUUGUCUAAACUUCCAAUGUGGGACUUGAAUUGACAUCUCUCAAGCAUAUGGCUCCUUGAUUAACAGUCUCUGCAGCUGAAAUGUUCUCAGUCAGAGCUGCCCUUUCUUGGCUUAGGUUCUGCUUUGUCAAUGGAAAAAAAUGGAGAAUAUUGUUUUGAUUCUCUCUGUAUAAGAGCCCUGAUCCUUAGGACUUCAAGUUUAAUGACUUUGAUGAGGCAUGUAGUACGUUGGUAGGAGCUUUUGCGUAUCCAGGCAAGUAAAACAAAAGUCACCAAUGGUUGCACAGAAGAAUGUGUUCUCCUCAUUCUUUGAAUCUGCUGCUGAUUGUUGUAUGUCGAAGUGAUGGUAGCAUGAUACAUGUGACUCGUAUUGAACAUCAUAUCAGAGAAGAAUUGAAUAAAAAGACGCCCCGCACUAUCGUGGUGCUUAAUCCUCUUAAAGUGGUCGUCACUAAUUUCUAGUCAAGGUUAUAGCUUGAUGCCAAAAGGUGGCUCGAUGCUCAGACCGAUGCCCCUCUAAAUUCUACAAAAUUUCCUAGUAAUCUACACGUAUAUGGAACAUUACUCUUUUCAACAGUACUAUUUACUACUUUGGUUUUUGAAUAUGUGAUUCACCUGUGACUUAAUUAUAAUGUCCGUCUACCCACGGCUAAUGUUACCACCCACGUCCGGUCACUCAGCUCGUGAGCCCCAUCCCAUCUGAUGGGCGGUGCAUUAAAUUUUUGAAAGCUCGAAAGUCUUGUUUACGACCAUGCAAUCACCACAUGAUCUUUUCUUAUACUUUGGUCUCACUCAUACGGUAUUGCGAAUCAAUUUUCGAUAGGUCCACCCAUCUUUCCACUACUCUAAAAAGAUGUGUGACGAAAAAUGUAAGUAUACUUUGGUGACAUAGGUAAUCAAAUCAAUUCUUUUAAAUCUUUCCACAAACCGGAAUGUUACAUUAAUGUGCUUCCUUCCGUUUGAAGAUACGGUUUCCCAAUCAAGUGCACCAACGUUGCCUUUGAUGUUGACAAUGAAACCAUUAGUGAGAUUCAUGCAGCGUAUGACCUGAGAAAGUGACAAAGCCAAAGUUUCUUUCUUUAAUUAUCACUACAAUUUCUGCAAUUCCAAUGUCUCUUAUUUAUCGGUCCUAGGUUGCUGAAUCUUCCCCAGGAAAAGAGCCCAUAAAGGUCGAAGUCCACCCAAGACCUACCCAUAACAAAGUUGAUAGAGUAAGCAAUUGCUCAAGGCCCAAACAUUAUGUGAGAUUUUAACUUAGAAAAAAGAAAAUCCUGAAUAUAUUUUAAUCUGGUUUGAAUUACAAUAGAAAAUGGAUACAUUUUCCAAAUUAGUAUGGCCUUUGAUAAAUUUCCAAAUUUUCUAAAAAUGGAUACAUAUUUUUAACCACAUUAACACUUUGUUGGUCAAAACUUUUUAAAACAGUAAAUGAAAACUUUGUUUGAUACGCACGUUGUGCAAGAGUUAAAUAUAGUUUCUCGAGCUUGUUUCUAAAUUGUAAGUGAGUGGUAAGAAAAUGUUGUUUAGUUGUCAUCUUUCCAAAGAAGACAAGAAAGGUUUUUAUAUAUCUUCAGAUAAAAGAUGUUUAUAUUACUGGCGCAAAAAAUUGCCGAAAGCUCUUCUGCCAGAUAGAGCAAAGAGAGUGAAAGUUUAAUAUCUAUAGGCAUGUGAUUUUUGAUUUACUGAAAAUCCAAAAUGCACUGCUUUAAUGGGAUUGUGAUAGCCACUGAUAGGUUUUAACAUGAGAUCUUCGCAUCAUUCAAUUUUGUUAUCCUCUUCACCACACUAAAAGCUUUACUGUUGGUUCUGAGUUCAUGUGGACGUACAAUCUUACCUGCAUGUGAAUAUUUACACAAGGAAUCAAAAAGUUGUAAAGUAAGAAGAUCGAAUAUUUAGGAUUAAGGAAUAAGGUGCUUUUACGAUAAGGACAACUUCAGGAUAUGAGUAUAUGAUGUAAAGUUGAUUAGAAUGCGCCAUCAUCUUUUCUUUUUGGUAUAUCACAAAAGAUAUUUUUCUUUUGAUUAAAGCUAUGUCACCAAUGUUUCGGAUAUAUAUUUGUAUUGCGAAAAAUGAGUAGGAAAAACGGCUAGUUCUAGCAUUUAAACCAGCUAUAUUCUAAAUUAAACUAGUCUGAAACUUACAUAAACUAGCUAAAUCGCAUAAACGUACACGAUAAUUUACUUGAUUUAGUAAACUGAUUUUAUUGGUUAAAUAAUUUGGGAAAAUCUAAGAGAAAUUUUUAGGUUCACCCAGUGCCAUCUUAAAAAUUUUAAAAGCCUUAGGCAAAAGAUUAAAUAUAGGCCUUUUCAUAACAUUUUUUUUUGUUGUAGUUCCUUAAUUUAAACCAACAAAUUUUUUUUAUCGGAAAAAUUAUAUAAUAGUCAAACACACAUAAUUAUUUUGGGCCUUUUUGUUAUUUACAAAUUAUUUGUAAUUAGUUAUGAACUCUUUAUUAUAAUUUUAUUAAAUAUUUAAUCAUUUAGCAAUUUGAAAUGGAUCCUUAAAAUUAAUAAAAUAGCACUAAAAAUUUCUCUGGACCCAUAGACCCGGUCUUGGGUUCACCCAACCAAUACGAUUUAGUUAUUUUAAAUUCAAUAUCUUUUAAAAAAAGAAACCAAAUAAUAAAAAUUUGUGAAAUUAUAUUGUUUAAAAAAAAAUUUAUAGUAAUUAUCAUAAAAAGAUUUUUUAAUAUUGUUAAACCUGUUAGUAAAAUAUUAAACCCUAAACUUUAAAUCCUAAACACUAAACCCUAAAUCAUUGGAUAAACCCUGAAUCUUUGGGCAAAUCCUAGAUCCCUAAUCCAAAACUCUAAACCAAACCCUAAACUCUUAAUCCUAAACUCUAAUACUAAAUCCUAAACCAUAAAUUCUAAACACUAAACUUUAAACCAUACCAUGAACUCUUGGAAAAAUCCUAAACCCUAGACCCUUAAUCCUAAACCCUAAACCCUUAAUCCUAAAUCCUAAACCUUUAUCCUUCACAAUAAUAAGGGUUUAGGAUUUAAGAUUAAGGGUUUAGAAUUUGGUUUAAGACUUAUAGUAUAAGGUUUAGGAUCUGCCCAAUGAUUUAGGAUUUAUCCAAGGGUUUAGUGUUUAAAGUUUAGUAUUUUGCUAACUAGUUUAAUAAUAUUUAAAAAAAAAAUUGAUAAUUACUAUUAUUUUUUUAUUUACAAAACAUAAUAUAAUUUCACAAAUUUUUAUUAUUUGUUUUUUUUAAAAGGUAUUAAAUCUAAAAUAACUAAAUCUUAUUGGUUGGAUGAACCUGUAAAUUCACCUAGGGGUGAAUCUCUAAAUUCACCUAGAGGGUGAACCUAAGAAUUUCUCGAACAAAUUUGUUCCUCACUAAAAUUGAUAAAGAAUAAUUUUUUCUUUCACUCCUAUAAUUUUAUUUCUCUGUAUUUUUUUUCUGUUCAUUCAUAAUGUUCCGGUAAUGGUCAGCAAUUAGAUUCUAACUGGUUUAACUUAGGUGUAUAAAAAAAAAGAAUAAAUAAUGUAUAAACGAAAAGUAUGAACAUUAUCCAAUAACACGGGUCUAUAAAUUCUCCCACAACCACUAAAUUCACUCUCACUUCUAUCAAACGCCUCUUGGUCCUUUGGUCUUUUUAUUCAUCACCAUCUCUCUCUUAGUCUCUUCUUCUCAUUUCUCUCGCUCUCUCUUAUACAUACACACAAACAAAGCUAAUGGACUGAAAUAUAUAAUAAUAAAAAGGAACAAAUAAUGUCAAAUAUAAUGAAGAAGAGGUGUAAUGAAAAUGAAGAGAGCGCAGAGCAGAGAAAAGGGCCUUGGACGCUUGAGGAAGACACUCUUCUCACUAAUUACAUUGCCCAUAACGGUGAAGGCCGAUGGAAUCUGCUCGCCAAAUCUUCUGGGCUAAAGAGAAAAGGAAAAAGUUGCAGAUUACGAUGGUUGAAUUACCUUAAACCCGACAUAAAGCGGGGGAAUCUCACUCCUCAAGAACAACUCUUAAUCCUCGAACUUCACUGUAAAUGGGGUAAUAGGUGGUCAAAAAUUGCGCAGUAUUUACCGGGAAGAACGGACAACGAGAUCAAAAACUAUUGGAGGACUAGAGUGCAGAAACAAGCACGCCAGCUCAAUAUUGAUUCCAGCAGCCACCAGUUCUUGGAAGUUGUCCGUAGUUUCUGGGUUCCAAGAUUGAUCCACAAGAUGAAAGAUUACUCAAACACCAACAGUAAAGCUCCUCCUACGGAUUCACUUGGACCCGUCGUACAAGACAAUAAUUUCUCACAUAAUUCGGGUUUAAACAACAUAGAUUGUUCCACUUCCAUGUCUCAAGAUCUGGCGAAAAUUUCACAGUUAAUGGAUUUGUCUGAUCUUGAAACCACUAAUUCAAUGUGCUUGGAAGGAUCACGAGGGAGUAGUAAUCAAUAUGUGAACGAAGAUCAUAGGUGCUUAGAGGAGGAGUACAUAGUGACCACCAUGGGUAAUUCAGACAUUUUACCAUUGCAGGAUUGUCAUGUAGCAUAUUCGACUUACGAGGAGGAUGUAACACAAGAUCCAAUGUGGAACAUGGAUGAUAUUUGGCAGUUUGAGGAGUACGCACCUUUUAAUUAGGUUGUGGAACCCAUUGAAAUGGAUGUUCUUACAACCUCCAAGGAGUUUCUAAGUAUUGUAUCAUCUUUUUUGGCUUGUUGUAGUUUAUAGUUAAAUCUUGAUUAAUUGAUAUAAAGUUCAAAGAAGGUUAAUAAAAAACUGUUACGUAACAUUAAUUUUCUAUAGUGUUUUACGUAUGUAGAAGAAUUAGUUCGAGUAAUCUAAAUCUUGACUAAUCAGGAGGAGGUGACAACUGAUAGAAUAGACUAGUGCGCGUCUUUGAAUAUCAAACCGUUGUCAUUUUCGUUAGUUUAGAUCUUCUAAAAAAAAACAAAUCUAAUCUCACCUCCACAUGUGUAAUAAUCCAUAAUCAACGAUUUAUAUACACGAUCUAAAUCAAAGAAAAUGACGCUGAGAUAGUGAAAGUUCUAGAAAAUAAUUGAUGAAUUGUUUCUUCGAAAUUAGACGUGUGCGUGGUAUAUAAGUCGACGGGAUGUCUCUACAUUUGGCAUACGAAUCUUCUUCAAGAUAGUUUCUAACUCAACGUCUUCCUCAAGAAACAUAUGAAUCUACGAAAACAUAUAUAACAUAUUUAAAAUAUUUUGGCGCGGCCCAUAAAUAGAGGAACCAAGUAAUUGUUACAAUAUAGAUUCGCACCAUAUAAAUUCGCAACUUAAUUAAUCAUUACUUAUAUUUUUCUCUUAAUCUUAUGCCUCGACCAAAAACUAUAGACCUUCUGUAAUACAUACAUGUUGUUUAGUUUUAAUGUACAACAAAUAUGGGAAUAUGAUACACGUCCAUUGAAUUUAGCCAUUUGGCAUAAUUCCGCUUAAGAGGGACUUGUUCUGUCUCCACUUAAGAUACACAUCAUAUAUAUAGUCCCUCAAGAAGUCAAGAGCUUGAACUUAGUGGAAAAAGUUGGUUCUUAUUUUCAGUAAUGAAGUGUAUACUCUUGAAUUACUUGGGGGCGGGGUAAUUAUUAGUUCGUCUUCAUUACUUCCAAAUGAAAAGUUAUAAAAGACGUUCAUAUUUUUUGGAGGUCAGUUCAUGGAAACUUUAGAAUGAUUUGGACUCAAAAGGCAUUAUAAAGUUGCAAUAAACUUAUAAAUCGUUUUUUCGAGGUCAGGAAGGCAAGAGUACGUACAUUUAUUUCAUUACUUUUGACAGAGAUGAAAGGUUCUGCAUGCUUUGUCUCCUUCUCACCUCCAAUAAUUCAAGUUUUGUAUGGAUCAUAUUUCUAUAAGAUAAAUAGAAAACAAAAGUUUAUAUAAAUGUAUAUAUGUGUGUCUUGUUACAUUAUGCAAACUGUCUUGACCAGUAUGAAUGGACUUAUACGCGCCGCUCCAAGCCAUAUUUUAUAGGUCAGGUUUUCACUUAUCAAUUUUUCAUUUUUUGGAUAUAUUGUUGUAAACAUCACUCGGAACCAUUCAUAUACAUGGAGCAGUGGGUGCGUUUUGUAACUAUAUAUUACAAUUUUUAAUAUAUUAACUAUUAUAUCCCGGACCUACGAAAAUGCUCAGACUAAUUCCAAUGAAAAAUACAGUCUACGGAUAGAAUCUAUCCGAAUAAUAAAACAAAAUUCAAAUAUGAUAUCAUACAUGCAUGGCCAUACACAUUUAUUGUCGUGAAUUGUUUCAAAUCCGGAUCAUACAACUUCUCAAAACCUAUAUCCACUAGACAUCUAUUGUUAUUUUAUUUUCAUGUAAAUAUAUGGAAUGUAUGAAAUCCGUAUGAACGGACCUCUCCAGAAGGUAAUUUUAAUGUGGCCGAUUUCCAAAUGAAAGUUACAUUUAUAAUUUCAUUUCUCAUGAAAAAUAGCAGAAUAUAUGAAAUAUUUCUUAUAAAGGGAAAAGCAAGACGAAACACUUUCACAUGAGGGUUUCUUUACAUUCACUAAACACAAGGAUGUAAAGGAGGAACGUCUACUGAAACCAGAUCUCAUAUUCGCAUAGUAUAAAACAGCUACAAAAUUACAACUAGUUUUAUUUCUGUCUUCUACUAACUUGGCAAAACGACUUGACUAUAAACACUUCUACACAAACUUCUUUUUCUUUAUGACUUAUCUUCCAUAGAAGUACCAGUAGUAUAAGAAAAUAGAAAAAACGUGUUAUAAAAACGUAUCUAGAUACUUAGAUAGCCAUCGUUAAAUUUGUCAUCAUUCUCUCCCUUAUAUCACCAUCGUCACCCAAUUUAGUCUACUACAAAAUCAUGAUCGUGUAUUCCGGGAAAUUCAACAAAAAUUAAAAAUUAGAGAAACAUCGGCCUAUAAACUGUUAGAUGGUCAAAGUUGUUCAAGCAGAUGAUGUUGUUAUUAUAGAGUCGUAUGUUUUUGUUGGAAUAGUAAUCAGUCAAACUUAGUGACCAACGAAAAAUGUUGUGACUUGUCAUUAUCAACAUAAGAAUUACCUUAAUUAGUAAAUUCUACGCUGUACGUAGUUCAUGCAAUGCAACAGUGAUUUUUUGGCAUCGAUUCACUCAACGAAACCUCGAGUAUAACCAUAACCACGGAACAUUAGACUUUCAUAUCGUGUAGCUAUAAUUUUGACAUAUUCGGACAACACAUGAUUGUUACUAUAUACAUUCAUAAAAUUUCAUAUUUCCAUAUAUUAACAUAUAAAGUUAUAUAUAUUCCAUAAAUUGAUAUAUAAAAUGAAUUUAUUGUUAAGUAGGACUUUUAUAUAAGUCGGUCCCACUGAAAUAUUUCGUGACCAUAUGAUAAAGCCGACUCUGAAAAUUCGGUGACGUAGUUAGAUUUUGAGAAAUUCUUAGGUUCUAGGUUCACCCAAUUAAUAGGAUUUAGUAUUUUAGAUUCAAUACCUUUUUAAAAAGAAAUCAAAUAAUAAAAAUUUGUGAAAUUAUAUUAUGUUUAAAAAAAAAAAAGUAAUUAUCAAUUUUUUUAAAAUAUUAUUAAACUAGUUAGCAAAAUACUAAACUUUAAACCAUAAACCAUUGGAUAAAUCCUAAAUCAUUAGGCAGAUCCUAAACCCUAAACCAUAAAUCUUAAAUCCUAAACCAAAUUCUAAACCCUUAAUCUUAAACCCUAAACCCUUAGGAUUUAGGAUUAAGGGUUUAUGAUUUAGGAUUAAGGGUUUAGGGUUUAGGAUUAAGGGUCUAGGGUUUAGGAUUUUCCCAAGAGUUCAUGGUAUGGUUUAAAGUUUAGUGUUUAGAAUUUAGGGUUUAGUAUCAAGGGUUUCAGGUUUAGGGUUUGGUUUAGAGUUUAGGAUUAGGGAUCUAGGAUUUGCCCAAAAAUUCAGGGUUUAUCCAAUGAUUUAGGGUUUAGUAUUUAGGAUUUAAAGUUUCGGGUUUAAUAUUUUACUAACAGGUUUAACAAUAUUAAAAAUCUUUUUAUGGCAAUUACUAUUAAUUUUUUUAUUUAAAAAACAUAAUAUAUUUUCACAAAUUUCUAUUAUUUGGUUUCUUUUUUUAAAAGAUAUUGAAUCUAAAAUAAAUAAAUCCUAUUGGUUGGGUGAACCCAGGCCCGGCUGUCGCGGCGGUUGCCCUGGGUCCAUGGGUCCAGAGAAAUUUUUAGUGCUAUUUUAUUAAUUUUAAGGGUCCAUUUCAAAUUCUUAAAUGAUUAAAUAUUUAAUAAAAUUAUAAUAAAGAGUUCAUAAUUAACUACAAAUAAUUUGUAUAUAGCAAAAAGGCCCAAAAAAAUUCUGUGUGUUUCACUUUUAUAUAAUUUUUCCGAUAAAAAAAAUUGUUGGUUUAAAUUAAGGAACUACAACAAAAAAAAAUGUUAUUAAAAGGCCUACAUUUAAUAUUUUUCGUAAGACUUUUAUAAUUUUUAAGACGACACUGGGUGAACCUCUACGUUCAUCUAGGAGGUGAACCUAAGAAUUUCUCAAUUUGUUCUAUAUCUUCUAGAAUAAAAAGAAUGAAAAUAAAUGAAAAAGAGAAACUAUUAAUCCUCUUUAGAUUUUUGAAAACAAAGGCACAUCUAUUGUAAGAACGUUUUUUUACUGAAAUUAAUUUUACAUUCUUUCAAAAAAAAGAGUAGAAAAUAAUUUUUUUUAGAAAUAGUAAAGAAUGCAUUAUUCCUUUCAUUAUUUGUCACUAGUUAGACCCAUAGAUUAUUCAACCAGUAGAUAACUUAAGUUUUGGCGCAUUUGAAAAUGUCUUUUCUGUGUUUUCCAUUAUAAUAAUUUGUUUCACAUAUUUCUCUGUAUCAUAAAUCUUAAUUGUCAAGACUCAAGGCAGGGACAAUUACAUGUGUGUAGUCUGCAAAUUUAGCCUUGAAUUUUCUUUGGAUCUCUCCCAUGUUCUGAAGAGGCUCUGAUACCAAAUAUUGUUGUAACAAAAGUGUUUAGAACUCAAAGAUCAAUAAGAAUAAAACUAUCUUAAAGCUUAAACUCUCACAAGAUCUCUAAAACUGAUAGGUUAUGCCACAAUAUAGCAUCUCUUUAUAUAGAGAUAUAAAAUUCGUAAACUCAUUAGUAAUACCUAUUUCCUAAACAUAACUCGAAUAGGAUAAGUAUAACUUGUUUCAAACUUCAAGUUUACAUCCAACAUAUGUUACAUCAUUAGAUGGUAAAAUAGCAUAUAUAUAUAUAUAAUGAUAUAAUUACUAUACUUUCAUAUCAGUAUUCAUCUCCUUUUUCUAUAGGAAUAUUAAGAGAAAGAGAACAAUGUACAUUUUAAUACUGAUACUAAAUCUUGAAAAUAGUUCUAAAUAAGUUUUUGAUGCUUUUUUGCUUAUUAAUUUUGGUAAAUAAAUCCAAAUUCGUGAGCAUAAAUAAUAGAGUGUAGAAUAUUUUGAAGAAAGGUAAAUCCCUAGCUUUUAAGAAACCAAACUUUUUACAAAAUAAAAACUUUCCACUAUGGUGUUGUUCCAAUGAAAAUAUUUAGGAAAUUUAUUUGAAAAGGCUACUGUUAUUUUUUUUGUGAAUACAAAUAAUGUUUCACGUUUAAAUUUUAGAUAAAUAAUAUUUAGUAUAUAAUAAAAUAUCUAAUUCUGAUUAGUACGUGGUUUUUAGGAAAGAAUGUAAAACAAAAUCUAUAUAGCUAUGCCUUUUGGUCCAAAGUGGACAAAGACUCUGGCUAAAGAAUUUGUGGUAGUUGGUUUAGACGAAUAGUGCUAAUUAUAUAAUAGGAUGUCCAAUUUUAAUUAAAGAGUUGAAUAUGGAUUUGACAAAACCCAUCAGGAUCCAAAUCGAGUACAUACCAGAUUUAGUAAUGGAUGGUUUAGACUUAUGGUUCAACCACAAACAUUAUAAAAAACUGGCCCAGGUGAGUCCGGAUCGUAGAGAAACUAUAGAACAAAUACACGGAACUUGAUGGUUAUAUGAAAAAAAAGUUAUGACUUUAGCAACUAUCAAAGCAAUAACGAACUAAAGAACAAGGUUGGCGGCAUAAAAGAAGGUACAUGCUUUGCAACUUGACGAGGGUUUCGCCCAUGUAAAAUCAAUCAAAUCUUGGCACCGGAACUCUAUGCGUAGUCACCAUCUUGGAUUAAGAUAGUCUAAAGGAACACGUGUAAUUUUUGGAACUGUUCCUUCUAAAAUUCUGGAUAAUUCGUUUUUUUUUCUUUGAGCAAAGGAUAAUUCGUUUAACAAGUUUUUAAAAAGGUAAAUAACUCAAUAAUACAGCCUCACUUUCAAGAUAAGUUUAGUGGGGCAGAGCAAAAGUGAAAAGAUAGAGAAACACAUGGAACGAAGAAAGGAACAAUAAGGGGGUGUAGAAACACAUUUAUGAUUUCAAACUUAGAAAGCUACUAAUGGUGAUUAACCUAUAAGUUGAAGAUCAUAUUAUCAACAACAACAAAAAAUUCUUAUUUUAUUGUGAAUUUAGUAAAGAACUUCAGAGAUUAAAAUUACAAAGCUAUCUGAUUUUUUUUGCUGUGCACGCUACUUUAUUGCUAAUUAGUGGUUUUCCGGUGCUACGCGCCGGUUUUUCUAAUAUUAAUAUUCUUUUGUUAGUUUUGCAAUUUAGAACAUUUUAAAUGUUAUUUUAGAAUAAAAAAAUGUAUCAAUGAUAUAGAAAUCUAUUAAUUUGAUAGUAAUCUCUACAUAGUUGAUUUUGAGGUUAUUUAUAAUAUAUGUAUAACACUUUAAGUUUGAACAUAUGCAUGACAAUUUGAAAGUGUAAUAGCUAAAUUGUUUAUUAUUUGAUUGGCAAUUAUUAAUUUUUAAUUACGAUAUAAGAUUAAUUUUAAAAUGUGGAAUUUAUACAAUAAUUAUGGAAAACUUAAUGUUUAUACAUAGUACAUAUUUAUUUAUUAUGCUGUGAAUAUAUAUAUAUAUAAUACAUAUAUAUAUAUUUAUUAUGUUGUGAAAUUGUUACCUUUUGCGCAUAGUAUAUAUGAACAAUUGGAUAUGAAAAUAUUACCUUUGGCACAUAGUUUAUAAUCUUCAUUAAAAUUGUUAAUUUAGUUAUUAAGAUAAUAGUACACAUUUAUACUGGAUAUUUUAGUAAUCUCGUCUCACUUAUAAAUAAAGGUUUUUCCAAAAAGCUAAAUAAUAGUGCAGUUUCUAAUAUAUAGACUUGUAAAGUAUUUUUACAAACUUUCUAUUAAAAUAAAGAGAUAAAUAAAUAUUUAUUAUUUGGUUUUCCUCGUGAUUUUGGUCACCUCUACUUGUAUUAGUAACAAACAUCACAUGCCUAAUUUCAGCAAUGGUUUUUGUUUUAAAGAUUGGAACUUUAUAUUGCCCUAUUUAGUACUUCAUCAAAAUCAAAUAUAACACCACCUUAAGAAAAUUUAAGCACAGCCGAAUACUCGUCGCACUUUUCUUAAAGAUUAUAAAAAAUAGAGGAAUAAGUAUCUCUCGUGAAGACUUAACAACCAACAAACGUUUUGUGAAAGUUAUUUCUCAUAAAUGGAAGAACCAACCAUAGAGAAGCAGAAAUGAGUGACUGAGUACUAUCCGAAUUGUGUCAUAUCGAAAGGGAUUAAAAGAAGCGUUUCUCCUUUCGGUUGUGUCAAGUGUCCACAUCAGAUUCAUAAGAAAUUGCAUAUCUUACUUCCUCUUUGUCAUGCUCUCUAAGACGCGCAUGCUAGAUUUUGGAACUAAAGAUCAAAAUCAUGAAAGAAGACCGUAAAUACAAAUUAAGAGAGUCGAAAGCACUACGGUACUGUGCUAUAUUUUUAGAGGGGAGGCUGGUAGUGAGAAGUGGAGAUGCGUUCGGAGGCUUGUUGUUGUUGUUUAGUGGUAUGGUCAUAGGAGAGCGGCGGCGCGUAAAUAAGACAUCAACAAAGGAGGUCGCUUCUGGUAGGCUGAGAAAAGGACGAAGGAUUUUAUUUUUUUGCUAGCAUAUUUAUAAUUGAACAAUCCUGAAGAAAGACAGACACAUACCACUUUAAUGUUGGUUGUGUUCAACUAAUCUAAUCAUAUUUAAGAUGAAAAACAAAUUGAUAGCAGAGUACGCUUCGAACAUAGAGAAUUAAAAGAGUUAAUAGAACGACAGAAAAAAUUAUACAAAAGUACAAAAGCAAACCUUUGAGAGAUAAGGCUUAUCUUCAUCAUCAAAGGCAUUGGGUAGCACCCAAUUCUCUAUCCUCCCGAGAUAAGGCCUGAUCAUCUUCCACUAUGGAUGAAGUUAAUGGUCCCGUGGAUGAGUGUAGACUGCAACGCAUUAAGAACGAACCAAACAUUUAGACAUCGAAGUUUGUGAAAUACGUAAUUGACAGAAAUAAGAAACAUAAAGUUGUCGAAGUUACCUGUUCAUCGAGAAGAAGCAUGUCAAAACUCAUAAGUUCUCCACCUUUCCCGAGCUUCCUAGAACCUCAGAAGAUGCACCUCCACUGUGUUUGAGCAACGGACUGCUCUCAAGUUAGCGAAAAGAACAUAGGAAGAUAACAUAUUUGAAGGAGAUGCGUCGGAUUGUUUAAGCUAUAAGAUAUCUCACUGGUGUAGAUCUUCAUCGCUCUUAUUUAUAGGUCGACCUUGGAUCUGUUACAUAGGCUGCUCGUUAAUGGGAAUAAAUGAGACGGAGUGGAGCUUAAUUAUUGUAUUAAAGCUUGAGUUUAAGGAAAGAGAAGACGUUAUAUGAAACGUAGUCGGAGACGAUGGAAGGACACGGCGUCGAACUGAAGAAGAGGGCAUACCAAACCUAAACAUAAAACAUGCCAAAAAUAUCAAAUUAUUGAUGGUCCAAUGAAUUAACAGAAAGCCCAUCGAUUAUUCUGCGAAUUAGAAGCAAUAAAAAAAGAAGCUCUCUUUUUACUCGACACGUGGCGCAAUAUAGGGAUAUGAGAGAUGAGGUGGCGGCCCGUGGAGAGUUUCUCUUCAAAUUUAUUAUUACAGAUAUUAAUACUAUAACAUAAUGAUAAGGAUUAUCUCUAAUCCUAAGUCAAAGUAGCAAUUAAGAGUCAAUCCAAUCCUACACUAUUUCGAUUCAAAGAGAAAACAGAUUAAUGCUUAAUCUAAGUGCAAUCAAGGUUGUGUAAUGAUAUGAUUCGAGUAACAAGACACUAAUCAAUAAAGUGAUAAAAUUUCAAUCAAUAGGAUAAAGUAGAACUCAUAGGUCUAGGAAUUUGACUUCAAAUGACUAAGAUCCAAUCUAGAAUGACAAGGUAUCAAUCAACCUAUUUCUGUAAGUCUAAACAACGAUCCUAAACAAGUUAUUUGUCAAGAUAAAUGCUCAUUUACUUUCAUUGAUCAAACAUCAAAUGUCUUUGGUUUGUGUCAUUCAAGCAAUCAUUAAGAACAUGUCCAUUAACUAUCUAAGAUUUCCUAACAUCAAAUGUCUUUGGUUAAACAAGCAAAGAGCAAAGUUGAGUUAGCUCAGACAUUUCAUCAAACACCUUCCGGGUUUGAAAUGGCUAGAGUUCUAGCUUAGAAAAGCUAACAAUUAAUAAACUAGCAUUAAGAACACUCAACAAGCAAAGAAAUAGAUUAAUCUAACUCUAAACACUCUAGAUCUUCAUUUAAGCACUAAUCAUCUUAACCCAUGAAUCCAAAAGGUAACUACUCACUAAUAGUCAUGAUAAACCCAAUAAUCAAUGAUGAUUUGAGGUUAAUCAUGAUUAGUGAUCAAGAUAAUCAAGCAAACACAAGAUAUCAAGAUGAAAAGAAGCUAAAGAUUGAAUCUUUCACCAAAAUAAGUUUGUGUUUAGGUAGAAAACAAGAUAAUUUCAUUCUUUAGAUCUACAACAUAUUUAUACUAAGCUAGAAUUCGAACCGGGUCAACCCAACAACCUUGGGUUAACCCAACAAAAAGAUGGAUCAAAGCUGUUUAGUGUCACGGCCGCAACAAUCGUCAUGCCACGACCAGAGCUUGCAAAACACAUGCAUAGGCUGCGGCCAUCAUUUCCUGCGGUGAGAGCCUGCGAAGCACCCUGCCAGUUUUCUUCGACACACGGCCACCACGGUCACCUUGUUCCCGCGAAGGAUAGUUGUGGUGAGGGUCCAGUUUUGCCGACAUCAUCGCUGCAUCCAUCCUCUUCUCGCGAAAGGUGACUGCGACAACACUCCUUCUUCACAGCCAUGACUUGGUCGCUGUUGUCCACUGCUACCACGUCAUUCUACAUCAUCUUGAACGUUUUAUGACCUUUUUAAGCUCCAAAACCUGAUUAAUACUUCUCCAAACCAGAAAACAUACAAAUGUAAUGCAAUGCAAUCUAAACAAACUCUAAAUGCAUCUAAAUGAUCAAUAUAUGAAUUAGAAUGAUGCUUAGAACAUGUAAAUACACAAGAUAUCACAGAAUAGCACAAUAACACACCUUAAAAAUGACAACACUGAUUUUGAUAUUGAUUUUCUGUUUACUCUAACUCUGCUUCCUUCAGUUAUGUUCGAACCACUUCUCAAUAGUCCAAGAACUCAGUAAACAGUCCCAGUUCGAUUUAAUAUUUAACAAUUUUUGAAAGAAAACUCAUCGGAGUAACAUACUGCUAGUACCAUGUACGUGAAUGUAACUAAAAAAUAGAGUAAUUAAGAAGCCUUACAAAAUGCAAUGUUGAAGGAGUUGGAGUGAAUGUAACUCACAUGGAUCUCGUAGUUCUCGUCAGCUUGUACAUCGGCCUAAUCUUAUCUUUGAUCCUAUAAGGCUAUACUUUAAGUUCCUCAUGGAUCCUAUAACUAGAGCUGCAUCAGUUAACAAAUACAUUUACUAUCCAUGACGAAAAUAAAUAGGUUAACAAGUACAUAUAAAUAUGUUUUCUUUAAAGAAGAGUUUCUAUCAUAUUUACAAAAUUGUAGUCAAUGUGAAUGUAUUUGAGUGAAACAAGAAAAUAUGUGUAGGCUACGUGUGGAUGUCUCUAAGGAUUAGAAAGUCAUCAUAUAUCAUAGUUAAACGAUUUGGUGACUUGAGAAUAUGCACACAUAAAUAGAUGACAAUUCAUUUGAAGUUUGAUUGUUAUUCUGCAUGUUCUUCUCCACGCAAGGGGUCUUUCAUCGCUUAGUUGCUUUUAGUAACUAUUAGAUUCAAUGUUUCCAAAUAACUAAUCGGUUUUUUGGGUAAUCAGCUACCAUGCGGCAUGAUGCAGGCGGAUCAAGCAAAACCUUGACUGAGAAUCUGAGAUGUUAAUGACAACUAUGUUGAAUGUACCGGCUGGACUAAUUACUGCAUCAGUGUGUGUUCUGUUUGUAUUCUUACAUCGUAAGGAUGAUCACAGUUGUCUCGGAAAAAUAGAUGGUAAGACCAAAAGUGAAAGACUGUGGUACAUGGAGGAGCGUGAGGCUGUGAGAAGGAUAUAUAGGGGAAAACAUUUAGGCAAUGCGGAGAAUGUGCCGUUAGUUUUUUUAAUUUCAUUAGCACAAUUUGUUUCUAAACUUCUUAAUAUAAUAAGUAUUUUAUCUAUUUGAAAUAAAACUAUUUUAUAAAACAUACCAUUUCAUCCAAGUGAUGGUAAUCUGGUGUAAUGCAAUUGGAGCAUAUAUAAACUUGUUGGUUCUCAGUUCGAAUCCAGACAUGAACUAAAUUAUUAUCGGCUGGUCAUAUCAGUCUCAGUUAAAAAUCUAGGGUCGAAGUAUUUAUCACUAUUGUGAUUAGUUGUACCUCGACCAAAACAUCUUCUAUAGGGCUGGGCCUGGAUGCAAGCCCAUCAAGCAUUUGUUUGAGGGCAGAUAAGUUUAAAAAAGUUUUGGGAGCGAAAUUCUAAAAUGAUUAAGUAGCAUAGUUGGUGUGGUGGCUGCUAUUUGAAUACCGCUGUUAAGCGUCUGGGUUCAAGAGCCGGUUAAUGCUGUUUUUUUUACCAUUAUUUUAAAACGAAAAUAAAAAAAACGUAAAAAAAGGAAAUAUAGGAACAACAAAAUAAAAAG
RNA transcript from Brassica rapa (field mustard), 16924 nucleotides. It is a transcript of the gene named transcription factor MYB62, with no coding region annotated. Lineage: Eukaryota; Viridiplantae; Streptophyta; Magnoliopsida; Brassicales; Brassicaceae. The record is from RefSeq and is a predicted model, not a curated record.